This 400-nucleotide RNase P RNA is filed under the name Candidatus Woesearchaeota archaeon. RNAcentral's name for it is "RNase P RNA component". It matches the Rfam family "Archaeal RNase P". Rfam says of the family: Ribonuclease P (RNase P) is a ubiquitous endoribonuclease, found in archaea, bacteria and eukarya as well as chloroplasts and mitochondria. The record is from RNAcentral. Lineage: Archaea; Nanobdellati; Candidatus Woesearchaeota.
GGUAGGAAGCGAGUCUCUAUCGGUCCUAAUGGAUUGAGGAAAGUCCGCCCACCGGUAUACUACGCGUAUACGACAGGAAACCCUUUCCUUAACCGGAAGUUCAGGCAACUGAAGGUCUAUGCACAGAAAUGACACGGCCGAUGUAUGGUGAUGAUGUCGCAAGGAUGCAAAGCCUUGGCUUCGUAAAAAAUCGAAGUUCGAAUGCAUUCGCGAGAGUGCAGAGAUAACCGACGGAACAAGCGCACAUCGGAAACGAUGAAACAGCAAGACAGGGUUGGUGCAAGUUUCGCAAGAAACGCUUAGUCGAAUGAGACACUGUUCGUCCGGCCUUCGCAAGAAGGUAUCAGAUCUUUGGCUCUGAUUGCGGGAACAAACAAAAGGUGGCUUAACGCUCCCUACC